CUUCAUCGGCUUGCUGGGGUGAAAUGUAGUGUACGUGCGUGUCGAUGCCUCCGGCAGUAAGUAUCUGCCCUUCGCCUGAAAUGACUUCGGUAAUGGUUCCGAUAAUCAGUCCGGGCGUUACGCCGGGUUGAAUGUGCGGGUUUCCAGCUUUGCCUAUGCCGCGUAUUUUCCCGUUUUUAAUACCGAUGUCGGCUUUGUAAAUGCCUUUGUAGUCAAUAACGAUUACGUUGGUUAUGACGGUAUCCAGCACUUCAUCAUCACGAAAUCCUGCCGCCUGUCCCAUGCCGUCGCGAAUG
This is a small RNA of Bacteroidales bacterium Barb4, 296 nucleotides long. It matches the Rfam family "5' ureB small RNA". The record is from Rfam. NCBI's taxonomy places the organism in Bacteria, Pseudomonadati, Bacteroidota, Bacteroidia, Bacteroidales.